AUUGAACGCUGGCGGCAGGCUUAACACAUGCAAGUCGAGCGGGGUGAUGGUGCUUGCACUAUCACUUAGCGGCGGACGGGUGAGUAAUGCUUAGGAAUCUGCCUAUUAGUGGGGGACAACAUCUCGAAAGGGAUGCUAAUACCGCAUACGUCCUACGGGAGAAAGCAGGGGAUCACUUGUGACCUUGCGCUAAGAGAUGAGCCCAGGUCGGAUUAGCUAGUUGGUGGGGUAAAGGCCUACCAAGGCGACGAUCUGUAGCGGGUCUGGGAGGAUGAGCGGGCACACUGGGACUGAGACACGGCCCAGACGCCUACGGGAGGCAGCAGUGGUGAAUAUUGGACAAUGGGGGGAACCCUGAUCCAGCCAUGCCGCGUGUGUGAAGAAGGCCUUAUGGUUGUAAAGCACUUUAAGCGAGGAGGAGGCUCUUUUGGUUAAUACCCAAGAUGAGUGGACGUUACUCGCAGAAUAAGCACCGGCUAACUCUGUGCCAGCCGCCGCUGUAA
RNAcentral lists this ribosomal RNA (503 nucleotides) under uncultured bacterium. Its description in RNAcentral is "partial 16S ribosomal RNA". It matches the Rfam family "Bacterial small subunit ribosomal RNA", at positions 30 to 523 of the family's 1533-position model. The record is from RNAcentral.